Molecule: ribosomal RNA, 460 nt
Filed under: uncultured bacterium
Lineage: Bacteria
Description: partial 16S ribosomal RNA
Rfam family: Bacterial small subunit ribosomal RNA
Source: RNAcentral
CCUACGGGGGACAGCAGUGAGGAAUAUUGGUCAAUGGGCGCGAGCCUGAACCAGCCAAGUAGCGUGAAGGAUGACUGCCCUACGGGUUGUAAACUUCUUUUAUAAAGGAAUAAAGUGAGGCACGUGUGCCUUUUUGUAUGUACUUUAUGAAUAAGGAUCGGCGAACUCCGUGCAAGAAGCCGAGGUAAUACGGAGGAGCCGAGCGUUAUCCGGAUUUAUUGGGUUUAAAGGGAGCGUAGAUGGGUUGUUAAGUCAGUUGUGAAAGUUUGCGGCUCAACCGUAAAAUUGCAAUUGAUACUGGCAGUCUUGAGUACAGUUGAGGUAGGCGGACUUCGUGGUGUAGCGGUGACAUGCUUAGAUAUCACGAAGAACUCCGAUUGCGCAGGCAGCUUACUAAACUGCCACUGACAUUGAUGCUCGAACGUGUUGGUAUCAAACAGGAUUAGAUCCCCGAGUAGUC